CAGCCGCCGCGGUAAUACGAAGGGGGCUAGCGUUGCUCGGAAUGACUGGGCGUAAAGGGCGCGUAGGCGGAUUGUUUAGUUAGGCGUGAACUUCCUGGGCUUAACCUGGGGACUGCGCUUAAUACAGGCAGUCUAGAGUGAGGAAGAGGGUUGUGGAAUUCCCAGUGUAGAGGUGAAAUUCGUAGAUAUUGGGAAGAACACCGGUGGCGAAGGCGGCAACCUGGUCCUUGACUGACGCUGAGGCGCGAAAGCGUGGGGAGCAAACAGGAUUAGAUACCCCGGUAGUCCCUGUCUCUUAUAC
This 301-nucleotide ribosomal RNA is filed under the name uncultured bacterium. Its description in RNAcentral is "partial 16S ribosomal RNA". It matches the Rfam family "Bacterial small subunit ribosomal RNA", at positions 509 to 807 of the family's 1533-position model. The record is from RNAcentral.